Molecule: small RNA, 275 nt
Filed under: Pan troglodytes (chimpanzee)
Lineage: Eukaryota; Metazoa; Chordata; Mammalia; Primates; Hominidae
Description: Metazoan signal recognition particle RNA (ENSPTRG00000050401.1)
Source: RNAcentral
GCUGGGCACAGUGGCUCAUGCCUGUAAUCCCAGCACUUUGGGAGGCUGAGGUGGGCGGAUCACUUGAGGUCAGGAGUUUGAAACCAGCUUGGCCAACAUGGUGAAACCGUGUCUCUAUUAAAGAUACAAAAAGUAGCUGGGCAUGGUGGCACAUGCCUGUAAUCCCAGCUACUCAGGAGACUGAGGCAGGAGAAUCGCCAAGAGGCAGAGGUUGCAGUGAGGCGAGAUCGCGCCACUGCACUCCUGCCUGGGCGACAGAGUGAGAUCCCAUCUCA